CUUUUCGUGAAAAUCGCGCGUUUUGGGCCCCAAAAAAAGCCCGCGGAACACGUGGUACCUUCCCAACUUUUCGCGAAAAAUCGCGCGUUUUGGGCCCCAAAACGCGCCCCGCGAAAUGCGGGGUACCUCCCCAACUUUUCGUGAAAAUCGCGCGUUUUGGGCCCCAAAAAAAGCCCGCGGAACACGUGGUACCUUCCCAACUUUUCGCGAAAAAUCGCGCGUUUUGGGCCCCAGACAUUCCGGGCCACUUUUUU
This 254-nucleotide long non-coding RNA is filed under the name Selaginella moellendorffii. Its description in RNAcentral is "long non-coding RNA (SMOE_LNC002476)". Lineage: Eukaryota; Viridiplantae; Streptophyta; Lycopodiopsida; Selaginellales; Selaginellaceae. The record is from RNAcentral.